Molecule: long non-coding RNA, 257 nt
Filed under: Elaeis guineensis (African oil palm)
Lineage: Eukaryota; Viridiplantae; Streptophyta; Magnoliopsida; Arecales; Arecaceae
Description: long non-coding RNA (EGUI_LNC034205)
Source: RNAcentral
UGUCAAGGUUAUUCAAAUCUAUUUAAGAGUGUUUGAUAGUGUUUUGGUAAGUUUCGAUACUUAAAUAUAUGAAAAACUGGGUUGGAACAUAAUGGGCCGACCUAUUAGGUCAUCUCCUUGCAAAGGGAAGCCAACAUGUAUCUGUCUUGGCCUUUGGCACGUAGUGGGGUGACCCAUGGGUCAACCUCUGAGAGCUUGAGACCAAGACAGAGAGCAUGAUUCUCUGUCUGACCAAUUGAGUUGACCCACUGCGGCGC